RNAcentral lists this ribosomal RNA (468 nucleotides) under uncultured bacterium. RNAcentral's name for it is "partial 16S ribosomal RNA". It matches the Rfam family "Bacterial small subunit ribosomal RNA", at positions 28 to 507 of the family's 1533-position model. The record is from RNAcentral.
GACGAACGCUGGCGGCGUGCUUAACACAUGCAAGUCGAACGGAAGAGCCCUGCUUGUUUGGGGUGCUCGAGUGGCGAACGUGUGUGAAACACGUGAGUAUCCUUCCCUGGACUUUAGGAUAACUUCAAGAAACUGGUACUAAUACCGGAUAGGUGCUCCUGCUGCAUGGGGGGGGUUGGACAGUUUCGGCGGUUGGGGAUCGACUCGCGGCUUAUCAGCUUGUUGGUUGGGUAGUGGCAUACCAAGGGUUUGACGGAUAGCCGGCCUGGGAGGGUGAACGGGCACAAGACGCCUGAGAUACGGCCCAGACUCGAAUGUGAGGCAGUGGGGGAGAGUAUGACACAGUGAGCGGAAGCGUGAUGCGACGGUGCCGCGAGCGGGAAGCCGGCUAACGGGUUGGAAAGCGCAGUAACCUGAGACGAAGCGUUAGUGACGGUACCGGGUAAAGAAGCACCGGCUAACUACGUG